RNAcentral lists this ribosomal RNA (158 nucleotides) under Fimetariella sp. Its description in RNAcentral is "partial large subunit ribosomal RNA". It matches the Rfam family "Eukaryotic large subunit ribosomal RNA", at positions 99 to 261 of the family's 3401-position model. Lineage: Eukaryota; Fungi; Ascomycota; Sordariomycetes; Sordariales; Lasiosphaeriaceae. The record is from RNAcentral.
CGGCAACAGCUCAAAUUUGAAAUCUGGCCUUGUGCCCGAGUUGUAAUUUGAAGAGGAUGCUUUUGGUGAGGCGCUUUCUGAGUUCCCUGGAACGGGACGCCACAGAGGGUGAGAGCCCCGUAUAGUUGGACGCCGAGCCUCUGUAAAGCUCCUUCGAC